UACGUAGGGUGCAAGCGUUAAUCGGAAUUACUGGGCAUAAAGCGUGCGCAGGCGGUUAUAUAAGACAGAUGUGAAAUCCCCGGGCUCAACCUGGGAACUGCAUUUGUGACUGCAAGGCUAGAGUACGGCAGAGGGGGAUGGAAUUCCGCGUGUAGCAGUGAAAUGCGUAGAUAUGCGGAGGAACACCAAUGGCGAAGGCAAUCCCCUGGGCCUGUACUGACGCUCAUGCACGAAAGCGUGGGGAGCAAACAGG
RNAcentral lists this ribosomal RNA (253 nucleotides) under uncultured bacterium. RNAcentral describes it as "partial 16S ribosomal RNA". It matches the Rfam family "Bacterial small subunit ribosomal RNA", at positions 524 to 776 of the family's 1533-position model. The record is from RNAcentral.